AUGGUGCUGACAAAUGAUCCUGGUGCAUAUUUUACUCUGUCACAGAUAAACUACUUUCCAAAAAGACAAUUAACUUUUGGACCAUGGAAAGAACACAACUCAGAAUAUAUUCUCAAUCUACUGUGGUGAUGCUAUUACUUUGGAGAUUUUGGAGUAACCUAUCAUUUUGAGGCUACUUUUUGGAUAGAGCAUAAUCAUCAGUGAUGAAAUGCAUAUGCCAAACAUAUGUGCUGUUAUGACCUUAUUGUGUUAGUCACUUAAAUAAAUAAAUAAAUAAAUAAAUAAAUAAAUAAAUA
Molecule: long non-coding RNA, 296 nt
Filed under: Felis catus (domestic cat)
Lineage: Eukaryota; Metazoa; Chordata; Mammalia; Carnivora; Felidae
Description: lncRNA (ENSFCAG00000049927.1)
Source: RNAcentral